Molecule: ribosomal RNA, 433 nt
Filed under: uncultured bacterium
Lineage: Bacteria
Description: partial 16S ribosomal RNA
Rfam family: Bacterial small subunit ribosomal RNA
Source: RNAcentral
AAUGAACGCUGGCGGCAUGCCUAACACAUGCAAGUCGAACGAGACCUUCGGGUCUAGUGGCGCACGGGUGCGUAACGCGUGGGAACCUGCCCUUAGGUUCGGAAUAACUCCCCGAAAGGGGUGCUAAUACCGGAUAAUGUCUUCGGACCAAAGAUUUAUCGCCUUUGGAUGGGCCCGCGUUGGAUUAGCUAGUUGGUAGGGUAAAAGCCUACCAAGGCGACGAUCCAUAGCUGGUCUGAGAGGAUGAUCAGCCACACUGGGACUGAGACACGGCCCAGACUCCUACGGGAGGCAGCAGUGGGGAAUAUUGGACAAUGGGCGAAAGCCUGAUCCAGCAAUGCCGCGUGAGUGAUGAAGGCCUUAGGGUUGUAAAGCUCUUUUACCCGGGAUGAUAAUGACAGUACCGGGAGAAUAAGCUCCGGCUAACUCCGUG